AAGUCGUAACAAGGUUUCCGUAGGUGAACCUGCGGAAGGAUCAUUAUUGAAUAAACCUGAUGUGGUUGAAGCUGGCUCUCUCGGGAGCAUGUGCACACCCGUCGUCUUUAUAUCUCCACCUGUGCACUUUUUGUAGACUUUGAUAUAACACUUUCCGAGGAAACUCGGUCGGGAGGAAUGCCGUGCGUCAAAUGCCGGCUUUCCUUGAAUGUCCUGGUCUAUGUUUUCACAUACCCCAAAGAAUGUAACAGAAUGUAUCAUUGGGCCUUGUGCCUAUAAACUAAAUACAACUUUCAGCAA
Molecule: unclassified non-coding RNA, 300 nt
Filed under: Galerina sp.
Lineage: Eukaryota; Fungi; Basidiomycota; Agaricomycetes; Agaricales; Galerinaceae
Description: partial contains small subunit ribosomal RNA and internal transcribed spacer 1
Rfam family: Eukaryotic small subunit ribosomal RNA (bases 1-46)
Source: RNAcentral